Molecule: ribosomal RNA, 265 nt
Filed under: uncultured bacterium
Lineage: Bacteria
Description: partial 16S ribosomal RNA
Rfam family: Bacterial small subunit ribosomal RNA
Source: RNAcentral
GUCCACGCUGUAAACGAUGGAUGCUAGGUGUUGGGGGUAUUGACCACUCCAGUGCCGCAGUUAACGCAUUAAGCAUCCCGCCUGGGGAGUACGGCCGCAAGGCUAAAACUCAAAGGAAUUGACGGGGGCCCGCACAAGCGGUGGAGCAUGUGGUUUAAUUCGACGCAACGCGAAGAACCUUACCUGGGUUAAAUCCGCCGAAAUCCCGCAGAGAUGUGGGAGUGCCCUUCGGGGAAUCGGUGAGAAGGUGCUGCAUGGCUGUCGU